This 496-nucleotide ribosomal RNA is filed under the name uncultured bacterium. Its description in RNAcentral is "partial 16S ribosomal RNA". It matches the Rfam family "Bacterial small subunit ribosomal RNA", at positions 28 to 506 of the family's 1533-position model. The record is from RNAcentral.
GAUGAACGCUGGCGGCGUGCCUAAUACAUGCAAGUCGAGCGAACGGACGAGAAGCUUGCUUCUCUGAUGUUAGCGGCGGACGGGUGAGUAACACGUGGAUAACCUACCUAUAAGACUGGGAUAACUUCGGGAAACCGUAGCUAAUACCGGAUAAUAUUUUGAACCGCAUGGUUCAAAAGUGAAAGACGGUCUUGCUGUCACUUAUAGAUGGAUCCGCGCUGCAUUAGCUAGUUGGUAAGGUAACGGCUUACCAAGGCAACGAUGCAUAGCCGACCUGAGAGGGUAAUCGGCCACCUUGGAACUGAGACCCGGGCCAGACUCCUACGGGAGGCAGCAGUAGGGAAGCUUCCGCAAGGGGCGAAAGCCUGACGGAGCAACGCCGCGUGAGUGAUGAAGGUCUUCGGAUCGUAAAACUCUGUUAUUAGGGAAGAACAUAUGUGUAAGUAACUGUGCACAUCUUGACGGUACCUAAUCAGAAAGCCACGGCUAACUACGU